GACGAACGCUGGCGGCGUGCUUAAUACAUGCAAGUCGAACGAUGAAAGCUGGAGCUUGCUCCGGCUGGAUUAGUGGCGAACGGGUGAGUAACACGUGAGUAACCUGCCCCUCACUCUGGGAUAACCUCGGGAAACCGAAGCUAAUACCGGAUACGACCCUCGGAGGCAUCUCCAGGGGGUGAAAGAAUUUCGGUGAGGGAUGGACUCGCGGCCUAUCAGGUAGUUGGUGAGGUAACGGCUCACCAAGCCGACGACGGGUAGCCGGCCUGAGAGGGUGACCGGCCACACUGGGACUGAGACACGGCCCAGACUCCUACGGGAGGCAGCAGUAGGGAAUAUUGCACAAUGGGCGCAAGCCUGAUGCAGCAACGCCGCGUGAGGGGCGACGGCCUGGUGUAA
This 399-nucleotide ribosomal RNA is filed under the name uncultured bacterium. Its description in RNAcentral is "bacterial SSU rRNA". It matches the Rfam family "Bacterial small subunit ribosomal RNA", at positions 28 to 428 of the family's 1533-position model. The record is from RNAcentral.